CCUACGGGUGACAGCAGUGGGGAAUAUUGGACAAUGGGGGGAACCCUGAUCCAGCGACGCCGCGUGAGUGAAGAAGUAUCUCGGUAUGUAAAGCUCUAUCAGCAGGGAAGCAAGAAAUGACGGUACCUGACUAAGAAGCCCCGGCUAAAUACGUGCCAGCAGCCGCGGUAAUGCGAAGGGGGCAAGCGUUAUCCGGAUUUCCUGGGUGUAAAGGGAGCGUAGACGGCGAUGCAAGUCUGAAGUGAAAGGCGGGGGACCAACCCCCGGACUGCUUUGGAAACUGGAUGGCUGGAGUGCAGGAGAGGUAAGUGGAAUUCCUAGUGUAGCGGUGAAAUGCAUAGAUAUUAGGAAGAACACCAGUGGCGAAGGCAGCUUACUGGACUGUAACUGACGUUGAGGCUCGAAAGCGUGGGGAGCAAACAGGAUUAGAUACCCUAGUAGUC
This 443-nucleotide ribosomal RNA is filed under the name uncultured bacterium. Its description in RNAcentral is "partial 16S ribosomal RNA". It matches the Rfam family "Bacterial small subunit ribosomal RNA", at positions 338 to 795 of the family's 1533-position model. The record is from RNAcentral.